UUUUUUAGCCAGCAUACAACAAAAUAUCUUAUGAUUCAACCAGAAAUAAAUAAUCAUGAAAUUCCGGGAAUAACAAAAGUAGAGCAGCUAAACCGCAAUGAAAAUGUAAACAAAAAUGAAAAAUAGUACAUUAAAAGUUUUCAACUUCGGCAACUCGAAGAAGGUAAAGAAAAUAAUAUUUUAGCUAGAAAGCACUCCCAAUGCUUAGAGCCUGCAUAACUCUCAAGGGUCUGGCUAUUCUCAAAACCAAAAACCAAAACAACCCAAGAAAGAUAAUAGGAUUAAUUCAUCCUCCUAAUGAACUCAUUUAUGUAAUCCUCACGAUUUCCAGCAUCACCACCCUCCACAUA
Molecule: unclassified non-coding RNA, 350 nt
Filed under: Hevea brasiliensis (rubber tree)
Lineage: Eukaryota; Viridiplantae; Streptophyta; Magnoliopsida; Malpighiales; Euphorbiaceae
Source: RNAcentral